UACGUAGGGGGCUAGCGUUGUCCGGAAUCAUUGGGCGUAAAGCGCGCGUAGGCGGCCAGAUAAGUCCGGUGUGAAAGUCACAGGCUCAACCUGUGAAUGCCGCUGGAAACUGUCUGGCUAGAGUCCGGAAGAGGCGAGUGGAAUUCCCGGUGUAGCGGUGAAAUGCGCAGAUAUCGGGAGGAACACCAAUGGCGAAGGCAGCUCGCUGGGACGUUACUGACGCUGAGACGCGAAAGCGUGGGGAGCAAACAGG
RNAcentral lists this ribosomal RNA (253 nucleotides) under uncultured bacterium. RNAcentral describes it as "partial 16S ribosomal RNA". It matches the Rfam family "Bacterial small subunit ribosomal RNA", at positions 524 to 776 of the family's 1533-position model. The record is from RNAcentral.